This is a non-coding RNA of Cercophora scortea, 92 nucleotides long. The record is from the annotation of a GenBank genome assembly. NCBI's taxonomy places the organism in Eukaryota, Fungi, Ascomycota, Sordariomycetes, Sordariales, Lasiosphaeriaceae.
GGUUUGGUGGUCUAGCGGUAUGAUUCUCGCUUAGGGUACACCCUGAACAAACAAGUUGCGAGAGGUCCCGGGUUCAAUCCCCGGCCAAACCC